AUCCUACGGGAGGCAGCAGUGGGGAAUAUUGCACAAUGGGCGCAAGCCUGAUGCAGCCAUGCCGCGUGUAUGAAGAAGGCCUUCGGGUUGUAAAGUACUUUCAGCAGUGAGGAAGGUGGAUAUGUUAAUAGCAUAUUCAUUUGACGUUAGCUGCAGAAGAAGCACCGGCUAACUCCGUGCCAGCAGCCGCGGUAAUACGGAGGGUGCGAGCGUUAAUCGGAAUUACUGGGCGUAAAGCGCAUGCAGGUGGUUUGUUAAGUCAGAUGUGAAAGCCCGGGGCUCAACCUCGGAAUUGCAUUUGAAACUGGCAAACUAGAGUACUGUAGAGGGGGUAGAAUUUCAGGUGUAGCGGUGAAAUGCGUAGAGAUCUGAAGGAAUACCGGUGGCGAAGGCGGCCCCCUGGACAGAUACUGACACUCAGAUGCGAAAGCGUGGGGAGCAAACAGGAUUAGAUACCCUGGGAG
RNAcentral lists this ribosomal RNA (464 nucleotides) under uncultured bacterium. Its description in RNAcentral is "bacterial SSU rRNA". It matches the Rfam family "Bacterial small subunit ribosomal RNA", at positions 335 to 793 of the family's 1533-position model. The record is from RNAcentral.